RNAcentral lists this ribosomal RNA (1239 nucleotides) under Triticum aestivum (bread wheat). Its description in RNAcentral is "partial small subunit ribosomal RNA". The record is from RNAcentral. Lineage: Eukaryota; Viridiplantae; Streptophyta; Magnoliopsida; Poales; Poaceae.
AUGGGAAGCUUAGACACCAACCCAAUGUCCUCCGCCUUGCCCAACGACAAGGCCGCGUUCGAGCCGCUCAACUUCUUCGCCUUCUUCCCCUCCACCAACAGCGCCGCUGCCAUCGCUGGGGACCUCAUCGCCUCUGCCAUGAACACCGUCGGGUUCACGUGGCAGGCCUCGCCUGCAGCCACCGAGAUGGAGGUUCUCGCUCUCGACUGGCUUGCACAGCUUCUGCGCCUACCCACUACCUUCAUGAACCGCACCAACACUGGUCGUGGCACUGGCGGUGGCGUCAUCCUUGGCACAACAAGCGAGGCAAUGCUUGUCACGCUAGUCGCCGCUCGUGAUGCAGCGCUGCGCCGAACCGGCUCUGUCGGCGUGUCCGACAUCCCACGCUUGACUGUAUAUGCUGCCGACCAGACCCACUCCACGUUCUUCAAGGCGUGUCGCCUUGCAGGCUUCGACCCCGCCAACAUCCGCUCCAUCCCCACAGGGUCGGAAACUAGCUACGGGCUCGACCCGGCCAAACUUCUCGAGGUAAUGCAGGCUGAUGCCGACGCCGGUCUUGUGACUACAUAUGUUUGUGCCACGGUCCACGUCGAUGCUGCAUACGCUGGCAGCGCGUGUAUCUGCCCGGAGUUUCGCCACCAUCUUGACGGCGUUGAGCGCGUGGACUCCAUUAGCAUGAGCCCGCACAAAUGGCUUCUCACAUGCCUCGAUUGCACCUGCCUUUACGUCCGUGAUGCUCAUCGGCUAAGCGACUCAUUGGAGACCAACCCGGAGUACCUCAAGAACGAUGCUACCGACUCCGGUGAGGUCACUGAUCUUAAGGACAUGCAGGUCGGCGUCGGUCGGCGCUUCCGUGGCCUCAAGCUUUGGAUGGUCAUGCGCACUUAUGGUACUGCAAAGCUCCAAGAGCACAUCCGUAGUGAUGUCGCCAUCGCCAAGAUGUUUGAAGAUUUUGUCCGUGCCGACGACAGGUUCGAGGUGGUCGUACCGAGAAACUUUGCUCUUGUGUGCUUUAGGAUCAAGGCAAGUGGAGCCAUGACGGAGAAGGAUGCCGAUGAGGUCAACCGUGUGCUAAUGGAGAAUCUGAACAAGACUGGCAAGGCAUAUCUUGCGCACACGGUGGUUGGUGAUAAGUUCGUGCUUCGGUUCGCGGUCGUCGCUGCAAGAGGAGAGACAUGCCGGUUUCAAGAUGCCAGACCGAAGCCACUUGGUCACAGUGUAUUCCCAACUUCCUGUUAA